Molecule: RNase P RNA, 379 nt
Filed under: Tepidamorphus gemmatus
Lineage: Bacteria; Pseudomonadati; Pseudomonadota; Alphaproteobacteria; Hyphomicrobiales; Tepidamorphaceae
Description: Bacterial RNase P class A
Rfam family: Bacterial RNase P class A
About the family: Ribonuclease P (RNase P) is a ubiquitous endoribonuclease, found in archaea, bacteria and eukarya as well as chloroplasts and mitochondria. Its best characterised activity is the generation of mature 5'-ends of tRNAs by cleaving the 5'-leader elements of precursor-tRNAs. Cellular RNase Ps are ribonucleoproteins.
Source: Rfam by way of RNAcentral
CCAGUCGGCCGGACGGCCGCUGCCCUCGGGCAGAGGAAAGUCCGGGCUCCACGGAGACACGGUGCCGGGUAACGCCCGGCGGGGGCGACCCCAGGGAAAGUGCCACAGAGAGCAGACCGCCCCGGUCCUGCAUGGGCCGGCGGCAAGGGUGAAAGGGUGCGGUAAGAGCGCACCGCGCGACCGGCAACGGGAGCGGCACGGCAAACCCCACCGGGAGCAAGACCGAAUAGGGACGGCACGGGUUCGCCCAGGCGGGUCUCCGCGCCGCCGUCCGGGUUGGUUGCACGAGGCGUCCGGCAACGGGCGUCCCAGAUGAAUGGCCGUCACGCGGGGCUUCGCCUCCGCCAUACAGAACCCGGCUUACAGGCCGGCUGGCACC